GUGAGGAAUAUUGGUCAAUGGACGAGAGUCUGAACCAGCCAAGUAGCGUGAAGGAUGACUGCCCUAUGGGUUGUAAACUUCUUUUAUAAGGGAAUAAAGUGAGGGACGUGUCCCUUUUUGUAUGUACCUUAUGAAUAAGGAUCGGCUAACUCCGUGCCAGCAGCCGCGGUAAUACGGAGGAUCCGAGCGUUAUCCGGAUUUAUUGGGUUUAAAGGGAGCGUAGGUUGACAUAUAAGUCAGCUGUGAAAGUUUACGGCUCAACCGUGAAAUUGCAGUUGAUACUGUAUGUCUUGAGUGUACAAGAGGUGGGCGGAAUUCGUGGUGUAGCGGUGAAAUGCUUAGAUAUCACGAAGAACUCCAAUUGCGAAGGCAGCUCACUGGGGUACAACUGACACUGAGGCUCGAAAGUGUGGGUAUCAAACAGGAUUAGAAACCCCUGUAGUCC
RNAcentral lists this ribosomal RNA (445 nucleotides) under uncultured bacterium. RNAcentral's name for it is "partial 16S ribosomal RNA". It matches the Rfam family "Bacterial small subunit ribosomal RNA", at positions 354 to 796 of the family's 1533-position model. The record is from RNAcentral.